GGCUCGGUAGCUCAGUUGGUUAGAGCACUGCAUUCAUAACGCAGGGGUCGGCAGUUCAAAUCUGCCCCGAGCCACCA
This 77-nucleotide transfer RNA is filed under the name Oligoflexia bacterium. Its description in RNAcentral is "tRNA-Met". It matches the Rfam family "tRNA". From Rfam's summary of the family: Transfer RNA (tRNA) molecules are approximately 80 nucleotides in length. Their secondary structure includes four short double-helical elements and three loops (D, anti-codon, and T loops). Further hydrogen bonds mediate the characteristic L-shaped molecular structure. tRNAs have two regions of fundamental functional importance: the anti-codon, which is responsible for specific mRNA codon recognition, and the 3' end, to which the tRNAs corresponding amino acid is attached (by aminoacyl-tRNA synthetases). tRNAs cope with the degeneracy of the genetic code in two manners: having more than one tRNA (with a specific anti-codon) for a particular amino acid; and 'wobble' base-pairing, i.e. permitting non-standard base-pairing at the 3rd anti-codon position. The record is from RNAcentral. Lineage: Bacteria; Pseudomonadati; Bdellovibrionota; Oligoflexia.